GCGAUCAUACCAGACACUAAUGCACCGGAUCCCAUCGAACUCCGAGUUAAGCGUGCUUGGGCGAGAGCAGUACUAGGAUGGGUGAAGUCCUCGUGUUGCACCU
Molecule: ribosomal RNA, 103 nt
Filed under: Zingiber officinale
Lineage: Eukaryota; Viridiplantae; Streptophyta; Magnoliopsida; Zingiberales; Zingiberaceae
Source: RNAcentral